This 497-nucleotide ribosomal RNA is filed under the name uncultured bacterium. Its description in RNAcentral is "partial 16S ribosomal RNA". It matches the Rfam family "Bacterial small subunit ribosomal RNA", at positions 28 to 507 of the family's 1533-position model. The record is from RNAcentral.
GAUGAACGCUGGCGGCGUGCCUAAUACAUGCAAGUCGAGCGAACAGACGAGGAGCUUGCUCCUCUGACGUUAGCGGCGGGCGGGUGAGUAACACGUGGAUAACCUACCUAUAAGACUGGGAUAACUUCGGGAAACCGGAGCUAAUACCGGAUAAUAUAUUGAACCGCAUGGUUCAAUAGUGAAAGACGGUUUUGCUGUCACUUAUAGAUGGAUCCGCGCCGCAUUAGCUAGUUGGUAAGGUAACGGCUUACCAAGGCGACGAUGCGUAGCCGACCUGAGAGGGUGAUCGGCCACACUGGAACUGAGACACGGUCCAGACUCCUACGGGAGGCAGCAGUAGGGAAUCUUCCGCAAUGGGCGAAAGCCUGACGGAGCAACGCCGCGUGAGUGAUGAGGGUCUUCGGAUCGUAAAACUCUGUUAUUAGGGAAGAACAAAUGUGUAAGUAACUAUGCACGUCUUGACGGUACCUAAUCAGAAAGCCACGGCUAACUACGUG